GUGAUUUAUGAGACACGAUCAGGUAUUAGAGCAGUGAGUGAUCUGGCGGAGACACUCGGCUGCCAGCAGAGCGCUGAACGCGGAUCUACUUCACCCAAAAAUUUUACUUGAGCCAAACCAUGAAAAACAUUUCCCGUAAAUGGCCAGACACUACAGAAGACACUAUGCGUUCAACCAGAGAAUGUUCUUGGUUACUGCCAAAUCCAUUUACAGAACAACCUUUCGACUUCCAGAUGGUGGCACAUAAUUCAUCACUGCUGAGAAGGUUGUUGCUUUGAUAUCACUACAAGCAGAGCAGAACUGAACUGAUCUCGUGGUGAGUCGGCAUCUGAUGCCUGGAUGAAGGAGAGAGGGAGGACAUGGGGAGCUGCUGAGACAACACCACACUGACUAUGAAAGGACUACACAACUUCAUGUCGGAAUAGAGGAAGGAUCCAGGAGCUGCU
Long non-coding RNA from Hyla sarda, 446 nucleotides. RefSeq lists it as uncharacterized. Lineage: Eukaryota; Metazoa; Chordata; Amphibia; Anura; Hylidae. The record is from RefSeq and is a predicted model, not a curated record. The transcript is spliced from 3 exons.